This 465-nucleotide ribosomal RNA is filed under the name uncultured bacterium. RNAcentral describes it as "partial 16S ribosomal RNA". It matches the Rfam family "Bacterial small subunit ribosomal RNA", at positions 338 to 795 of the family's 1533-position model. The record is from RNAcentral.
CCUACGGGCGGCAGCAGUGGGGAAUAUUGCGCAAUGGGCGAAAGUCUGACGCAGCGACGCCGCGUGAGGGAUGAAGGUCUUCGGAUCGUAAACCUCUGUCAGCAGGGAAGAAAGGUCACUGUGCUAAUCAGCAGUGAACUGACGGUACCUGCAAAGGAAGCACCGGCUAACUCCGUGCCAGCAGCCGCGGUAAUACGGGGGGUGCGAGCGUUAUGCGGAAUUACUGGGCGUAAAGCGCUCGUAGGCGGUAUGUCAAGUCAAGGGUGAAAUCCCCGCGCUCAACGUGGGAACUGCCUUUGAAACUGGCAAACUAGAGUGUGUGAGAGGAUAGUGGAAUUCCAGGUGUAGGAGUGGAAUCCGUAGAUAUCUGGAGGAACAUCAGUGGCGAAGGCGACUAUCUGGCACAUAACUGACGCUGAGGAGCGAAAGCGUGGGUAGCAAACAGGAUUAGAUACCCGAGUAGUC